UUGCAUCGAUGAAAAACGCAGCAAAAUGCGAUAAGUAAUGUGAAUUGCAGAAUUCAAGUGAAUCAUCGAAUCUUUGAACGCACAUUGCGCCCGCCAGUACUCUGGCGGGCAUGCCUGUCUGAGCGUCAUUU
Molecule: ribosomal RNA, 131 nt
Filed under: Geosmithia pallida
Lineage: Eukaryota; Fungi; Ascomycota; Sordariomycetes; Hypocreales; Bionectriaceae
Description: partial 5.8S ribosomal RNA
Rfam family: 5.8S ribosomal RNA
About the family: 5.8S ribosomal RNA (5.8S rRNA) is a component of the large subunit of the eukaryotic ribosome.
Source: RNAcentral